CGCUUUGCAGCACAGCCCAUCCAAUUUGGGUCAUGGCACAUCUGACGUGGCAAUUUCCAGUGUGGAUAGAAAUGGUCCAUCUUGAAUUAGCUACAAGGAAAAUUUGGUGGUCAAACUCAAAAUAUGGCCAACUUGUAAUGGAUUGUUCCCCCGUAUUUUCAACAGUUCCUAUAUUUUUGGCUUACUUCGACUUUUUAACCAAUCAUUGACCUUAGUUUUCUCCAUGUAUAAUUUGGAUUGGAUUGAACUUUUGUAGGUAGAUAGGGAACUGUGGGGUCUAGACCUGUAAACCA
This is a long non-coding RNA of Telopea speciosissima, 293 nucleotides long. RefSeq lists it as uncharacterized. Lineage: Eukaryota; Viridiplantae; Streptophyta; Magnoliopsida; Proteales; Proteaceae. The transcript is spliced from 3 exons. The record is from RefSeq and is a predicted model, not a curated record.